RNAcentral lists this ribosomal RNA (255 nucleotides) under uncultured bacterium. Its description in RNAcentral is "partial 16S ribosomal RNA". It matches the Rfam family "Bacterial small subunit ribosomal RNA", at positions 524 to 776 of the family's 1533-position model. The record is from RNAcentral.
UACGUAGGGGGCAAGCGUUGUCCGGAAUCAUUGGGCGUAAAGAGCGUGUAGGCGGCCCGAUAAGUCCGCUGUGAAAGUCCAGGGCUCAACCCUGGAAUGCCGGUGGAUACUGUCGGGCUCGAAUCCGGAAGAGGUGAGUGGAAUUCCUGGUGUAGCGGUGAAAUGCGCAGAGUAUCAGGAGGAACACCAAUGGCGAAGGCAGCUCACUGGGGACGGUAUUGACGCUGAGACGCGAAAGCGUGGGGAGCAAACAGG